RNAcentral lists this small RNA (1075 nucleotides) under Pongo abelii (Sumatran orangutan). Its description in RNAcentral is "retained intron". Lineage: Eukaryota; Metazoa; Chordata; Mammalia; Primates; Hominidae. The record is from RNAcentral.
UGCAGUUGAUCUGUAAAAUCAGUAGGUUCUGUAUACUAAAGUAUUAAUUGUUAGGUCAUAGAAAAAAUUUCUCAAAAGAUGCUGUAUUCAUCUUCAACUAUGCAUUGUUUCCAAGUUACUAAUCUUAUGUUCUAGUUGAAGACUGGGAUAGUUUCCAGGCUAUUUUGGAUCAUACCUACAAAAUGCAUGUGAAAUCAGAAGCCAGUCUCCAUCCUGUUCUCAUGUCAGAGGCACCGUGGAAUACUAGAGCAAAGAGAGAGAAACUGACAGAGUUAAUGUUUGAACACUACAACAUCCCUGCAUUCUUCCUUUGCAAAACUGCAGUUUUGACAGCGUAUCCUUGAAAGAGUAAUACUUUUCCUCUUGAAGUGUAUACAAUACUACUGAAUGUGAAAACUCUGGGAGAAGGCAUAAGCCAAUUAUUGCAUGUUCAGAAGUUGUUUUUUUCCCUUUUCUCUUGCUUUUUAGCUAUUCAUCUUUUAGUGUUUCUUGUUAGAACUGAUGAUACACCAGAAGGUAUGAGGGAAAUAAAGUAACACUCAAAUUCUGAGUGUUAAGAUGUUUUCGUUUUUGUUUUUAAGAAGGGGCAUGUGGAUAGAAGGCAAUGUUUUAACUAGUUGGCUUAGAUGAAUUGAAAGAUUGCCAUUUUAAAAUCUCCCUCCCUUCCAAUAUCAUAGAAAACUGGAAAUUGGCUGUAAAUUCAUUCUCCAAAUUUAGUCAGUCAUCAAAUCCUACCUAUUCUUCCCUGCUAUUUGCUUUUCUGUGUCCCACUGCCACAACAUUAGGUAGAGGCUAUUUCCAGGAUUACUGAAGCACAUCCUCUUGUCUGCCCAUUCUUUACACUGUUGCUCUAAUAAUCUUUCUAUUUUUAUUUAUUUAUUUAUUUGGUAGAGAUGGAGUUUCGCCAUGUUGCCCAGGCUGCUCUCGAACUACUGGACUCAAGCGAUCUGCUUGUCUCAGUCUCCCAAAGUGCUGGGAUUACAGGCAUGAGCCACCGUGCCCAGCCUCUAAAUAAUCUUUCUAAAGUGCUAGUCUGCUUUAAGCCAGAAUCGUCUUCUACAUUUCUUCCUUUAUU